CCUACGGGAGGCUGCAGUGGGGGAUAUUGUACAAUGGGGGAAACCCUGAUGCAGCGACGCCGCGUGGGUGAAGAAGUAUUUCGGUAUGUAAAGCCCUAUCAGCAGGGAAGAAAGAAGACGGUACCUGACUAAGAAGCCCCGGCUAACUACGUGCCAGCAGCAGCGGUAAUACGUAGGGGGCGAGCGUUAUCCGGAUUCACUGGGUGUAAAGGGAGCGUAGACGGCCGUGCAAGCCAGGAGUGAAAGCCCGGGGCCCAACCCCGGGACUGCACUUGGAACUGGGCGGCUGGAGUGCGGGAGGGGCAGGCGGAAUUCCUGGUGUAGCGGUGAAAUGCGUAGAUAUCAGGAGGAACACCGGCGGCGAAGGCGGCCUGCUGGACCGCGACUGACGUUGAGGCUCGAAAGCGUGGGGAGCGAACAGGAUUAGAUACCCUUGUAGUC
Molecule: ribosomal RNA, 441 nt
Filed under: uncultured bacterium
Lineage: Bacteria
Description: partial 16S ribosomal RNA
Rfam family: Bacterial small subunit ribosomal RNA
Source: RNAcentral